This 1509-nucleotide ribosomal RNA is filed under the name Triticum aestivum (bread wheat). Its description in RNAcentral is "partial small subunit ribosomal RNA". The record is from RNAcentral. Lineage: Eukaryota; Viridiplantae; Streptophyta; Magnoliopsida; Poales; Poaceae.
AUGGCACGCCUACUGGUAGCGAUUACCAUAUUGUUCAUUCAGCAGCUGGUGUUCGCAGUUAUACUGUGCCCUUUAGCAGCGCUUUACUUGUGUGGGUUGGUGAUCACCGGCGGGAUAUCUCUGUGGCGCCUGAUACGGCGCGAUUACGGCGAGGUGGAUGGACGUGCAAACCUGCAGCCUGCUCUGAAUGUCUUUUACUCACUGGCUCUGUUCCAGGGUGUGCUCUUCUGCUACAGGUUCUUCUCAUAUUCUGCAGGAGAUGGGCUAGUCAGUAAAGUGGUCGAAGAAUACAAGCUGGACAAAGAAGGAUCCGUUCGGAAAUCGGUGAAGGAGUACCUGUGUCAGACCAGAAAUGGGUGCGCCAAGGACCCAUCAUUUGUAAAGGAAAGGAACCUGGUCACGUACGCUGUGGAUUUGAUGAAGUCUGAAUCAUCUGGCAGCUACCUCUCCGGGGUAAGGAUUUUGGACGCACUCUUGGCACAGUCAGCUCUCAAGGAGCAGCACUCGAUGAUUGCACAGCUCAUUGGGUCGGCAUCCUGCAGCCAGAUAGUUGAGAAACUGCUGCAGGCGCUCGAUUCAAGAAGCCGACAAGACAAGGAGAUCAUGGAGCUCGCUGCCAGGAUAGUGGUGAAGCUUGCUGGAGAGAUCCAUUUGAAGCGGUUUCCACAAGGCAUACUGUGUAUAUCUUCACUGCUCGAAACCUCUCAGCGACAGCCUGACGAUGACAGUGCCCCUUCCGGUGAAUUCAAGUCGCUCAUGAAGCAAGGCCUUGUUAUCCUUGACAGCCUCGCUGCUGACAAACAUAACUGCUGUCUCAUAUGCGAAGACCAGAGCCUUCUCUUCAAGGUCAUGGCCCCCAUAAGCUCUGAUAUGCUCCACCUCAUUGAUCAUGACGAACGGAUGCUCUUUAAGGCUGACCACAACACAUACAGAAUAACUGCAGCUGAAACCCUGAAACAUCUUUGUAUGCAUUACAAAGAGAAUGAAGAUUGUUUCAAGGAACUCAUGAAAGCCAUGAAAGAUGUCACGCCAAAGGUUCUCAUUCAAAUACUUCCUCAUGGAUCAACAAGGAAGGAAGUACAAGCAAGAAAUGAAACAGAUAAAGACAAGUAUCAGCCACCAGGAGCUGACUUAGAAGAUGGCCAUGAGAGUUGUGUUUCAUCACAAGACAAUGGUCCGGACGAAAUCAUUUCCUCUCUUCAGGAAAAGGAUGAGGAAUCUGUGGACAGGAAAUUGCACGCAGCUUUAUUAUCUCUUUGUGCGGCAAUAUUUGAUAGAUUGAUCAGUGACAAAGGUCAUGAUUUAACUCCGCUGGUUAAGGCAAUUGUCUCAGAAGAUGCCGCAUUUAGCUUUGUUGGGAAGCUCAGGGAGAUGGUUGAAAUAAACCGUGAGCCCACAGCCAAUUGCCUGAUGAUAAUGAAGAUUAUCAGCAAGAUGGUAAUAUCAAUGAUGCAGCAUGGAGGCUGGUACGUCAAAAAAAAUCUGGACAGGACAGGUUUGACAGCUUGA